This 13341-nucleotide long non-coding RNA is filed under the name Octopus vulgaris (common octopus). Lineage: Eukaryota; Metazoa; Mollusca; Cephalopoda; Octopoda; Octopodidae. The record is from RNAcentral.
GGCACAAGGGCUGAAAUUUUGUUGGCCACUACGUCCACCUCAGUACUCGAAUGGUGCUUAUGUUAUCGAACACGAAAGGAUGGGAUAAAUGUCGAAAGUGGGAGAAAUUUGAGGUCAGAAAGAAAAGUGAGUAAAAAAGCUUGUAAGCAUACAUAAGCACACAGUUUCACAUUUAAUGAGAAAGUAUAGUAGGUUAGAUCAACGUUAGAACUUCAACAUUCUAUUUGUGAAAGCAAAUAAGCGCGACCAAGAACAAAAGACAAACACUGCUCAGUAGCAGAAGUAGAGAGAAAUAUCAUUUUAUUGGAAGAAGAGUUCACAAAGCGUUAUAUCCAGUUUCACGAUUGCAAUCUUCGGACGAAAAUCGAGAAGUAAGGACUUAAGCAACGCAUUUAAAGGCAACUAGAAACAUCAAACAAUAUAUUUAUAUAUAUAUAUAUAUAUAUAUAUAUAUAUAUAUAUAUAUAUAUAUAUAUAUAGUUAAUCCAAACAUGAAAACACAAAGAGAAAACACAACAACGCGAGGACGUGGAACAAAUAUAGUAUUAUUGGACGCUCAGGAAGGAAGGAAGGAAGGAAAGAAGGAGGGUUUAACGUUUCGAGCGGUGCUCUUCGUCAGAAACAUAGGAAAAGGAAAGAUCCAAAGAAGAGAAGACGGAGGAAAAAAAUCGCCAACGGUACACACGCGGUCACACACACACACACACACACACACACACACACACACACACACACACACACACACACACACACACAUAUAUAUAUAUAUAUAUAUAUAUAACGGUAAGCUUUAUGAAAAUAGACAAAAGACGAAGGCAGGUUUACGGAAAUAAACAAAAGAGGAAGGCAGGUGGAAUACAAACAAACAAUUGUAUUAGUAUGGCGCUCAGGAAAUAUAAAUGAAGCAAGUCUUUAACGUUUCGAGCCUACGCUCUUCAACAGAAAGAUACACAGAGAAAAAAAACACAGAAAGAAGGAGAGAAAAAAAUAUGCGUGCAAAAGCUAGCGAAUCAACAUGGCGAUCUGAUUUCGGCCAGAAGUCAAAGAUCAAACAUGAGACGCAAGAGCGAAAUUAGGGGAGAUAUUAGGGUUGAAUGACCCUCGCUCAAACAUAAGAGUGUGUGUGUGUGUGUAUGAGAGAGUAUUAGUGCGUAUGAGAGGUCUAGACGUGUGUAUGUAUAUAUGAUGUGAUGUGUAAAGUCGUAUGGUGUAGUGUAGAGAGGAGAAGAGGGGGUAUUAGUGCGUAUGAGAGGUCUAGACGUGUGUAUGUAUGUAUGAUGUGAUGUGUAAAGUCGUAUGGUGUGGUGUAGAGAGAGGAGAAGAGGGGGAGGGGGAGAUGGGAGGGGGAGGGGGAGAAAGAAAGGGGAGAGGGGGAGGGGGAGGGGGAGGGGGAGAAGGAAGGAGAGGAGAAGAGGAGGGGAGGGGAGGAGGGAGGAUAGAGGGAGAGAGAGAGAAGGGGAGUGAGGGAGCAGAGGGAAGGGAAGAGGGAAGAAAGAGGGAGGGAGAAAGAGGGAAGAAGGGAAGAGGAGUAGGGGUGAAAAGAUGAAGGACUGAAGAGAAGUAGGGGUCGGGGGGAGGUUAGAUGAGGAGGGGGAGGGUUAGAUGAGGAAGGGGAGAGGGGGUUAGAUGAGGAGGGGGAGGAGAGUUGAGACCAAAUGGCAUAUAAGAGCGAAGAGAGAAGAUUAAUUCCUGUUCAUGGCGCAAACGGGAAUCCGGAUGGCCUCUGUGUAAGGACAAACCGAACACAGACAGGUGUUGCAAGGAGCGGAAAUGGCGUGAGACCGGUGUGUCGUUCGCAAGGUGGAUGUCACAAAGGUGUUCCGCGAACCGGUCAGCCAAGCGGCGUCCCGUUUGUCCGAUGUACAGGGAAUGGCAGAGAGAGCAAGAUACGCAAUAGAUAAUAUUGCUGGAGGUGCAGGUAUUGCUGACUGGAUAUAUGAGAUAUAUGCAAAAGUAAAGCAUGAAAUAAAAGCGGUGGACAAGUGAAACAUGUGAAAUAUACGAUAAAAAAAAAGACAAAAUUCUUUCCGGAGUCAUAUAGAUACAGUAGGCUAGUUUUUCGAAUUCCUUGUCGCAUAUAUUCUGCUUUGGACGGGACACCAGUCAAUCGAAGGAUUACUCAUUUUUGACAGCUGAAUAGACUGGUGCAACAUAAAAUGAAGCAAAUUUUCUCAAGAUAACAAAGAAUCGCAAGAAAUCGAACACACGAUCUUACGAGCAUGAGUGCAAUAUCAUAAACAUGACGACACCCGUCUCCGCACAAAUAUACAAUAACUGGUAAAAUAAGUUGAAAAUAAAAAAUAAAAUUGUUAAGCUCUGUACUCCAGCAUGACUACAGUCUAAUGGCGGCGACAUGUACAAAAUUAUAUAUAUACACCUCAACCCCACCCCACACAUAGAGACAGAUUGAUUGAUAUAGAUAUUUAUACAUGUACUGAACGCACACUCUCAUGCACACACAUGUAUAUAUAAAAGGCGGCGAGCUGGCAGAAUCGUUAGCACGCUGGGUGAAAUGCGUAGCCGUAUUUCGUCUGCCGUUACGUUCCGAGUUCAAAUUCCGCCGAGGUCGACUUUGCCUUUCAACCUUUCGGGGUCGAUAAAUUAAGUACCAGUUGCGCACUGGGGUCGAUGUAAUCGACUUGAUCCCUUUGUUUGUCCUUGUUUGUCCCCUCUGUGUUUGGCCCCUUGUGGGUAGUAAAGAAAUAUAUAUAAUAUAUAUAUAUAUAUACACAUAUGCAUAUAUAAGCACACGCAAACACACCCACAUACGCACAAACAUACAGACACAGAUGCGAAUACGAAUAUACAGCGGACUUCUUUUAGUUUCCAUCUACCAAAACCUCUCACAAACUUUUGGUCUGCCCGAGGCUAUAGUAGAAGGUGCCACGUAGAGUGAAACCGGAGCCAGAAGUAAGCGGUUGGUAAUCAAGCUUCUUACCAGACAGUCACGUUUGCGUCUAUGGAUUACAUCUUGUGUGUACAAAUAGAUGUCCGAAUGCUACUACUAUGCUUAGAGUCCCCAUAGAUUAUCAUGUUUCACUGUGCUUCCAGUAGAGUGGUUAAGUAAUUACUUUACUUGGUAGUAUUGCUAGUUAUGAAAUUCCAGAGCAAAUGUAGGAGAAAUUAAGUUAAACACGAGUUUGUGUGAUUAGUGACAACGUACGAAGGAAACAGUUAAACGUAUAAACUACGGUGAUUAGUUAUCUGUGACUUAAUGUAAUAAAACGUUCCCUGGUGAUCUGUUCUCGUUAAGCAUUCAUAUGCAGUUCGAGACAUAAUGCAUGCUUCUAAGCAACCAUAAUAGUGAAACGAACGUAGGAAUAAGAUGAGCUUCUGUUUACCUUAUUUUUUCAUAUAUAUAUAUAUAUAUAUAUAUAUAUAUAUAUAUAUAUAUAUAUAUAUAUAUAUAUAUAUAUAUAUAUAUAUAUAUAUAUAUAUAUAUAUAUAUAUAUAUAUAUAUAUAAUACAUAUAUAUAAUAUAUAUAUAUUCUAUAUAUAAUUAAUCCAAACAUGAACAAUGAGAAAACACCGCGAGGACGUGGAAUAAGUAUAAUGUUAUAUGGACGCUCAGGAAAGGAAAGAAAGAAGGAGGAUUUAACGUUUCGAACGGAGCUCUUCGUCAGAAACCAAGGAAGGGAAGACGGAGAAAGAAAAUUGCCAACGAUAUACAUAUAUAAUAUAUAUAUAUAUCACCGUGAUCACCGUGACCGACCAGUCUAUCAGAUGUUGCUACACAUCGCUGGUCACAAUGCGCUUCGCAUUGUUUUAGCCUUCAAAUGACGCCACCCCGCUGGCUAAGCGAGCAGGCCAACAGAGGGAAGAGUGAGAGAAAGUUGCAGUGAAAGAGUGGAGCUCGGAUCGCCACCACCCCCUGUCGGAGCCUCGUGGAACUUUAGGUGUUUCACUCAAUAAACACUCACAACGCCCGGUCUAGGAAUCGAAAUCGCGACCCUACGACCGCGAGUCUGCUGCCCUAACCACUGGGCCAUUGCACCUCACACACACACACACACACACACAUAUAUAUAUAUAUAUAUAUAUAUAUAUAUUUAUUUUAUUCUUUUACUUUUACUCGUUUCAAUCAAUUGACUGCGGUCAUGCUGGAACAUCACUUUUAGUCAAAGAAACCGACCUCAGGACUUCUUCUUUGUAAGCCUAGUACUCUAUCUUAUAGUAGAAACAGCAGUAAGCUAAUGAAGUUCAUAUGAUAAUCGUUUAUUCCUUUUUGUCAUAUCAUUUUCUCGUAUAUAUAUAUAUAUAUAUAUAUAUAUAUAUAUAUAUAUAUAUAUAUAUAUAUAUUGUGGUGUCCUGGACGUACAUAUAUUUAUAUAUGCAUGUAUAUAUACAUGUAGAUGUCGGUACGUACAUAUAUGUUUGUAUGUAUGCAUAUAUUUUAUUUAUUACACUAUUGUCUGACAGCGCUUCGCGUCGGGUUCGUUCGAAUUUUCGAAUUUCCGAAUCUUCGCUUCGUUCUGUCUCUUAUCCUCCCAGUAUUGUCUUAUAAUAUAAUUAUGACGCGAAAUUCUCUCCCUUUGCUUUACCUUCCCCUCUCUCUCUCCCUCUUCCUCAUCCUUCUCUCAGCCGCGUGUCUUCCUCUCUCUCUCUCUCUCUCUCUCUCACUCCUCCUCACUUUCGUCACUGCUAAUCCUUUUGCACGUUGCUUUCAGGCCGUAAGGUCAUGUUUCCCUGCGCUCGCCAGUACCUCUUCCGUCCCAGCUAGAGCAAAAGCCCAUCGUUUGUUUUUUUCCUUCGUUUUCUUGUUUAUUUUGAUUUCUCGUUUUAUAUUUUAUUUCUCGUUUUGUAUUUUCUUGUACAUGUAUUUUUAAUUUUGUAUUUUUAUCUUGUAUUUUAUUACGCAGUUCUAUUGUUACGUCCCGUUUGUGUUACAUUUUUUCGUGCUUGUUUUACCCCUCUGCGAGGUUAUUUUAUUUUAAUUCUCUUGCAGGAAGGCCUAGUAUUGACGAGUCGUGUCCUGUCUUGCCUUCGAAACACGCUAAGUCUACUAGUGACAGCUGAUGAAGGGGAUUUUUCCUUGUGUAGCUUGUCCUGUACCUUGCUUUUCUGUUAUAAAUAAUGUUUUUCCUGUUAUUCAACUUUGUGAACACUAUUACCCUGCAUGCGUAAGCAAAAGCUGGGUAUUAUAGUCGUUCGUCUUAGUCUGUAUGUCUGUGUUUUUGCAAAAUCACUGAAAAACAACUAAACGGAUUUUCACCAAAUUUGGCAGAAAUACUCAUUGGGUAAAUGGCUCGAUAUCAUUAAAUUUUGGUUUGAAUAGCUUCAUAAUUGGCGGACUGGUGAAGCAAAAUGUUUCUUUUUCUUUAUUACACAUGCAUAAACGAUAAGCAAGGGAAAUAACCCUUGAUGUCAUUUAGUUGAAAUAUGAAUGCGUCUGAGAAUAUAUUUAUUAAAUAAAAAUUCAGUUUAUCCUAGUGUGCGCGCAGGGUAUUCAUCACCCCUCCGAUGCCUUUUUAAAAAUUUUUUUACAUUAGUCUUGCAUCCAUUUAUAUGGUUUGGUGGGAGCGGACUGACUUGGUGUAUUUACACCCUUUUUCUACAUCGAGAAUAUUUCUCCAAGAAAAAAAUGGAGUGAAUAGUUUCCUUACGGAUUUGAAUAUGUCUUAAGCAUAUUUAAACUGGUAACGAGUUUUAUAUUUGUGUACAUCACUGCAUAUCGCUUCUUUUCUGCAUUCUAAUACAGCUGGGUCACAGAUUAGCAUAACAAGUCACAGUAAUUUGACUGGAAUGUGAUAUGAGAGAUCUGUUGUUUCGUAGCCAAAUCAGAACACCUCUCUCUCCAGUGAUUGAUGUUGAAGAAAUGACUACUCUGAAAUCCAACGAUCUGGGUAGAGAGCAUCCGCGACUGACUGAUGCAUUUAGGCCUUUUUGUCAACAGUGAGAAAUUUUCUCCUUGACAAACUGUUGGGAAUAGCAGUCCAACGGGUUCGAAUAUGUCCCAGGCAUAUUUGAACUGGUAACAAGUUUAUACUUAGUUCUCUAUGACAAAGUUUUUUGAACACGCUUCCGUGGAACCCAAUAGUUCCAAAUCGUCUAUUACUGGUUCCAGGGCUGAUUUGUAAGAAAUACCCCAGCAGUGUUCCGGUAUUUUGGAAUAUGUACAUAGAUAUUUGUAAAGAAACUAUUUUUUUUUCCCCAAAUAUGUUUGUAUUUAUGUUUAAUCUAAUCCAUAAUCUAAUUAGAAUUUACUGCUGAACCAUUCGUAGUUUCGAAAAGCAUGAAAUAUAAUUCCAAUGAUACUAUUAAACUUGUCAGUAUUUCUACAUCAACACUACUAAAUGUAAAAAUCUUUAGUUUAUUAUGUGAAAAUGUAGGAAUUCUAUAUACAACUUCAUUUGUAUAGAAUGAGAUGCGCUGUUUAUCGCGUAGAGAAGUAAUGAUUCAUUAAAAAAAUUUUUUUUUUAAUUUCGAAAGGUGUGUAGAAAUUGGGUUAUUUCUAUUUGAUUCUUAGGCGCUUAUGUUUCUGAUAUAUUUACUUGAUUAAGGUUAAUUGUUUAAUGCAGAGUAACUAAAUAAACAUGCUUGAAAGUAAAAAAUAAAACGAAUACCGUUUAGCGUAAAGUAAAAUCUUGCGCUGACUAUGUAGCUAGGGAUGAUGUCCGGUGUUUUUUAAAAUCUUAGGGCUUUUUGUCUAGCAUACAAAUGUUCCUUAGUCAUGAUACAAACAUUCAAUAUUGUAAUAUUUAUACGAUAUUUAGCUGUUAUGAAUAACUAACAGUAGGUUUCGGUGGAAAUUGGAAGUCAACUUUGGUGUGAAAGCCUGUCUAUAGACUCAUUAAACUUAAGCAGUCUUUUACUGGAAGAAAAGCAAAUAAACAGGCUUCUGGAUUGUAUUGUUAAUGAAAUAUCCUACUUCGUUAAUACAAAAUCAAGAUCAUUAAUAAAAGAUCAAGAUCGUUAAUACUAGAUAAAGAUCAUUAAUACAAGAUCAAGAUUUAAUACAAUUUCCAGCUAUAUAUUUAUAUGAAAUAACUUUCUUAAUAAUGAAGAACGUUUAAUAACGAAGAAUAGAGAUUAACUGAAUAUAGAAGAUGGUUUAUGGUUAGGAGGAACUUACUUAUUUUCAAAAUCUAAAACUCACUAACUAUAAAUGUUGAAUUUUUCAAGAAAACAACACCCUAAAAUUAUAGCACAAUGUUAUUUUAAUUCUUUUUUGGGGAUAUAGUUAUAAUAUUUUCCCCUUAGAAUAUAUUAUAAAUUCCCCCCAAAAUUCUCUAAUCUAGGAUGUCCCAUGACCACAAUAAGUUUUAUCAUAUGCAUUUUUGAUAAUAAACUAGAAUGGUCCGUUUCAGAGUUUCUGCAAAUGUGUUUGUAACAUUGUGAGCGAUGGUGUAUGCAUAGUUUCUACAGGAUGCCUUUGUCAUAACUUGCGAUUGCAUUGUUUUGUCUGCCGGACAUACUUCUUACACUUUCCACAAGAUGUCUGUAACCCUAAAAGGGAUUAUCUUGUUUCGCCUGUCAUGUAGUGUUUCUGAUUUCUCCACGGUACUUCCUAUUAUAUAAUAUUCUUAAGUAAAUUUCCAGGUUUAGUUACCAAAACUAUCACUGCAGAACCCACAUUAUUCUUGGUGGUAUACGCAUUACACCAAAAAUGAUAGGAUACCAAUCUGAAAUUGGAAUCAAUGGUAAAGACAAAUUAUAACUAAAGUGUACUGGGAGCAAACAGCAGAAGUAAUAACAGAACAGUUACAUCAAUGUUACAAAAAAAAAGGAGUCGGCCCAGGAGGAGUAGGCGCAGGAGUGGCUAUGUGGUAAGUAGCUUGCUUACCAACCACAUGGUCCCGAGUUCAGUCUUAAAGUAAGAAUCAUAUGUAAUGAAAAUAAAUACAAAAAAAAUAAACACUCACACAUGAAAACUAUGGCAGUCAGCAAGAAACGAACCACUAACAUCAAUAUAGCCAAAAAUGGAACACUAAUAGAACAAAUUUCAACCGUGGUCUAUAUUGGCUUUAUGAAGUCUGAAAAACGGUAAAUUUGAAACUGAAAUUUGACGAAGAAUAGAAAUUGCAAGGAAUACAAAGGAAAGCGUGUCAAAUGCGUUAACAUCAAAGAAAAUACAAGUAGAAACAAGAAUACGGUAUAAAUGUUACAUACAGUUCACACUAUCAUAUGGUACAGAAACAUGGAUAUUGACCAAAUCUGCCUGAUAAACUAGAAGCUUUUGAAAUGUGGGCAUAUAAAAGAACGUUAAGAAUAUACUGGACAAAUCAUAUAACUAAUAAAAAUAAGUGCUACAACAAGCGAACACAAAAAAAUUAUUACUCUCAACUGCUAAAAAGGCAUUUUGGUCACAUAGUAAGUGUAUAGGGUAUAGAAAGGAUGUUAUGAGAAGGAAAGCUAAAUGGUAAACAGCCGAGAGGAAGACCUAGUACCAACCGGUUUGAUAACAUCGAAGACUGAACGAAACAACCAGACGGUGAAUGUGGAAGAAUGGCGGAAAAAAGACCCGAAUGGGGAUCUUUGAUAUUCACCUGGCUGAGAGCAGCAGCUGGUACAGGAUAAUGAUGCUAAUGAGGAUACUAAUAACAGGCAGAUACACUAAAGCACAUGCAUACAUAUAUAUAUUUCUUUAUUGCCCACAAGGUGCUAAACAUAGAGAGGACAAACAAGGACAGACAAAGGGAUUAAGUCGAUUACAUCGACCCCAAUGCGAAACUGGUACUUUUAUUUAUCGACCCCGAAAGGAUGAAAGGCAAAGUCGACCUCGGCGGAAUUUGAACUCAGAACGUAACGACAGACGAAAUACGGCUAAGCAUUCCGCCCGGCGCGCUAACGUGUCUGCCAGCUCGCCGCCUUUAGUAUAUAUGUACACUCACACACACGCGCGGGCACACGCAUAUACAUACAUACAAACAUACAUACAUAUAUAUAUAUAUAUACACAUAUAUAUAUAUGUAUACAUAUAUAAAUAUACAUACAUAUAUAUAUAUAUAUAUUUAAAAAAGGAGAUGUGGAACACGAGUUGUGAUAUAUAAAAAAGGAAAUGAAGAAAAUGCUGACAAAAUAAUUUAAGUAAUUUAAGUAAUUUAAUUAGGUGGAAGUUCAUUUUACCGGUUGCGCAACCGGUAAAAAGAACUUUCCUUUUAUAUAUAUAUAUAUAUAUAUAUAUAUAUAUAUAUGCACACAUCUGUCUAUCAAUCUAAACACACGCACACAUAUAUAAAAAGAUAUUAAGACAUUGCCGUUUUCUUCUAUACUUCUGUGAGUAUGGUUCGUCUGUUUUUCUAUGCAUGUUUUGGUAUUUUGAAAAUAUUUCUAUGUAAUAAAUAAUCUUUGGAAUUAAUGCACUGGGAUAUGAAAAGAAUGACAUAUUUUCUUUUUAUUAUUUCUCCAUAGGCGUAGGAGUACCUGUGUGGUAACUAGCUUGCUUACCAACCACAUGGUUCCGGGUUCAGUCCCACUGCGGGCUGACCAAGAGUUUGUGAGUGGAUUUGGUAGACGGAAACUGAAAGAAGCGUGUCGUAUAUAUGUAUAUAUAUAUGUGUGUGUAUACGUUUGUGUGUCUGUGUUUGUCUCCCCAACAUCGCUUGACAACCGACGUUUGUGUAUUUACGUCCCCGUAACUUAGCGGUUCGGCACAAGAGACGGAUUGAAAACGUACUAGGCUUACAAGGAAUAAGUCCUGCAGUCGAUUUGCUCGACUAAAGGCGGUGCUCCAGCAUGGCCACAUUCAAAUGACUGAAACAAGCAAAAGAGUAAAGAGUAAAGCGUAUCCCUUGCCCUGGGAUGACUAAUAUUUACAUUCUAAUACAUCCACCAACGGAGGUUGGAAACCUUUAAUUUCAAGUCAACGAAACUCACGUCAAAAGGACAACGAUAACGAGCAGUAAGCACUGUUAUAGUUCGCACUUGCACAUUCUCUGACUGCUCUGACAAAUACUGAUUUACGUCGUUAUGAUUGGAAUUUCGAUGGUUUAGUACUGCUUGCAAUAGUUACGGUUUCAAAUACAGAUCGAAAGGUUUCACGUAUCUCGCUUUCUCUCUUUCUCUCCCUGCAAAUGUGCGCGCGUGUAUGUGUAUGUGUGUGCGUGUGUGUGACUAAACAUAUAUAUAACGAACUGGCAGAAACGGCGGCGAGCUGGCAGAAAAGUUAGCACGCCGGGCGAAAUGCGUAGCCGUAUUUCGUCUGCCGUUACGUUCUGGGUUCAAAUUCCGCCGACGUCGACUUUGCCUUUCAUCCUUUCGGGGUCGAUAAAUUAAGUACCAGUUACGCACUGGGGUCGAUGUAAUCGACUUAAUCCGUUUGUCUGUCCUUGUUUGUCCUCUCUGUGUUUAGCCCCUUGUGGGUAGUAAAGAAAUAUAUAUAUAACGGACUCUCCCUGCAAAGAUGAUUUGUUUAUAGUAACCAAAUGUAUGUGCUGUACAUAAGGUCGCUCCCUCCAUCAAACCGACGUUGUCUGAACUAGUACACGGUGUACCACGCGUCAGGUGUCAAAGUGAUCGAAGAGCGACGGUCUAGGAAUUGAAACCACGACCUCGCGAUCGUGAGGGCAAUACCCUAACCACUUGGGCAAUACAGUACUGUAUUAUAUAUUUUUAAAAAAUAUUUUUAUAAUUUGUGUAUAUUUAUUUUAUAUUAAAUGCAGAACAAUACCACAGAGGAAUCGACGUAAGCCUAUAUAAUAAACCGCGAUAGGUGAAACGCGAUAUCGCGAGGAUUACUGUGUAAAUGUAUUAUUAUUUACGUGUAUAUGUGUGUGUGUAUGUAUGUAUAUAUAUAUAUAUAUAUAUAUAUAUAUAUAUAUAUAUAUAUAUAUAUAUAUAUAUAUAUAUAUAUAUAUAUAUAUAUAUAUAUAUAUAGAUAUAUACAUAUAUACAUAUAUAUAUAUAUAUAUAUAUAUAUAUAUAUAUACAUAUAUAAUAUAUAUAUAUAUAUAUAUAUAUAUAUAUAUAUAUAUAUAUGCGUGCGUGAUGUGUGUAUGUGUGUGUACGGGAGUAUUUACACAUGUAAGUACUUAUGUGUGCUCUUGAUAUUUCAGCGUAAUUUGUGCAAACCCUUUCAGGCAGUGAUGAUGUGUAGAUAAUUUACGUGACACCUGCUGAUAUCUAGGAAAGAUCAGCGAAAAUGACCAGACGUUGAAAUAUUAUCCGGACAAUUUGAACAAUUUCCACAGUUUUAUACUUUCCUUUUCUUUUCGUUAUGUAUAUAUGUAUACGCAUAUAUAUAUAUGUACAUAUAUAUAUAUAUAUAUAUAUAUAUAUAUAUAUAUAUAUAUAUAUAAACAUGUAUGUAUGUAUGCAUGUAUAUAUGUAUGUAUAUAUAUAUAUAUAUAUGUAUAUUUAUAUACAUAUAACCAUAUAUAUAUAUGUGUAUAUAUAUAUAUAUAUGUAUAUUUAUAUACAUAUAGCCAUAUAUAUGUGUGUGUAUAUAUAUAUAUAUAUAAUUAGAUAUAUCUCACCUCAUCUCUAUUUCUGCCUUUGUCUGUAUGUCAGUGUGCUCUGCUCUUUCUUUCUCUCUCUGUUUUUCUCUCUUUCCUUCUCUGUCUUCCUGCUUGCGUCUGUAUCUAUCUAUACACCUAUUAUAAAACGGCAUUUUCUUUUCAUGGGCGUACUGUUCUAGCAAAAUGUCAGAUUUGCUAUUACCAAAAGAGCCAGUUCUCUCUAAGGACGGUAAAUUCCUGCAAUGUCAACGUAUUCGAAAUUACAUAACUUCACAAAACAUUUUUUUUUUUAUUCAGUCUUUCUUAAUAAAACGGGCAUUGCUGUUGGCUUCAACAGUCUAGUUCGUUUCCUUCCCCUGAUCUUGAAACAAAGACACUGAAGUCCUACUUAACAAGUAGACUAACAUGUAAUUAUAUAUUAGGUGCUAUCGAAGCAGCAUGGUGGUUAGGAGAAUAAUGUAUUGGAAUACAUGACGUAAUACACGAACUCCAAUAUAUUUCUUUAGUAAACGUUUCGUCUGAGUUUCUGCUAUCAUAGUUUUGCUAUCUCAAGUCACCCUUGAGAUGGCAAAACUAUGACAAAUAAUGUUCCCGAAAUGACUAUUCCGCCUUUUAAUGCUAUUCUUUCUUUUAUCAGCAGUAACUUAUCAAUUAUACAUUUAUUCUUUUAUUAUUUUAUCUGUUUCAGUCACUUCACUGCGGCCAUGUUGGAGCACUGUCUUUAGUGGAACAAAUCGACACCAGGACUUAUUGCUUGUAAGCCUGGUACUUAUUCUAUCGGUCUCUUCUUCCGAACCGCUAAGGACGUAAACACACCAACAUCGGUUGUCACGUGAUGGUGGAGGGGGAAUACCGAAACACAAACACACACACACAUCUAUACAAAGGGCUUCUUUCAGUUUUCAUCUACCAAAUCUACUCACAAGGCUUUGGUCGGCCCGAGGCUAUAGUGGAAGACACUUGCCCAAGGUGUCACACAGUGGGACUGAACCCGGAACCAUGUGGUUUGUAAGCAAGCUACUUACCCCAUAGCCGCUCCUGCUCCUAAAGUUAAUCGACCACGAGAAUCGAGUUUCGGCUGCUGUUUCUAUGUUUCCUCGUAAGUUCAGGAGAAACUUCUGGCGUUGUUCCCUCUCAGCUCUGUGCUUGUGUACAACCAGUGACCAAGCAUAAUAUAAGUGUACGCAAAAGAUCAGCUGCCUAAGAUCUUUUGGGCACACUGGCAUUACAAUUGUUCGCUUGUUGAACAAAACAUACGUUUGUCGCGGAACAAAUUGCAAGCUUAAGAUUUUUUCAAAUAAUAGUUCCUAAACAUAAGAGUAGACUCAAAUUUUUAGUCCUGUUUUGUGAAAAAGAUGAAUCUCUCUGGGAAAUUCGUUGGUUUCACUAUGUUUAAUGUUUCCUAAUCAUUAAACAUAGAAACUCACCACUAUUCAGAGCAUCGACGGCCAUUACGUUUUUCUUUUUUUAGGGGCAACGAUGAUCUAAUUAGCGUUUCUGAAGAAUCCAAACAUUUCAUAGACACAUUAACAGUUAUUACAUUAUGGUUAGCUACUCAUCUAGUAUAUAUAUAUAUAUAAAUCGGCGGCGAGCUGGCAGAAUCGUUAGCACGCCGGGCGAAAUGCGUAGCCGUAUUUCAUCUGCAUGACGUUCUAGGGGCAACGAUGAUCUAAUUAGCGUUUCUGAAGAAUCCAAACAUUUCAUAGACACAUUAACAGUUAUUACAUUAUGGUUAGCUACUCAUCUAGUAUAUAUAUAUAUAUAUAUAUAAAUCGUAAUAUGUGUGUGUAUAAUGACUAACGCAUACAUUUCCCCAAUUCUCACUCGAUUUCCUCCAAAUUUUACACACACAUUACUUAUGUCCCAAGGACGGUCAUGCACUAUAACAUUUUGUCCAGAACUCCCGCGUAAAUGAACGUAAAUGGACAUAUUUUUUUGUAUGUAG